GCCUGGGUGGCUCAAUCAGUUAAGCAUCUGACUUCAGCUCAGGUCAUGAUCUCACAAUUCGUGGGUUCGAGCCCCGCAUCAGGCU
This 85-nucleotide transfer RNA is filed under the name Felis catus (domestic cat). It matches the Rfam family "tRNA". Rfam says of the family: Transfer RNA (tRNA) molecules are approximately 80 nucleotides in length. Their secondary structure includes four short double-helical elements and three loops (D, anti-codon, and T loops). RNAcentral also lists the same sequence under 2 other names. Lineage: Eukaryota; Metazoa; Chordata; Mammalia; Carnivora; Felidae. The record is from Rfam by way of RNAcentral.